ACGAGAUCGUCUGUAGUAGUGUUCGUAAAUAAAAAACCUUAGCUUGGGAGGUGUUGGGUAUCCGGUGGUUUUCUUCAACGAGGACCCAGCACAGCGCCAAUACCAGCGACGUCCCAGUGUGCAGCCAGCGCUACCAACGAGCUGCCGCAACCCACCACCAGAGGACUCAGACAACAGUGGGUGGGGUAGCGAAGGAGUCGUGACAGGGUGAAUGGGGGUCAGGGGUGAAGGCAUGACGGAAGAGGUGGAGACGAAGGGUAGCAAGGACCGCCAUCGUCGAGCUGAUCCACAAACUCGGUCUAUUUCCCGGACGACACCAUCGCGAGCAGUUGGAACGCUCUUUCUACUGCUGUGCCCGAAAGUGAAGUUUACUUUUAAAGUGCCACAAAAGUGCUAGUUGUGCCACCCCAGAGCUUCAGGAGAAGCCGAAUUGUUCCCGUGUGGAAUUGGAGGACACCAGGACCCCUUGUGCUUUGGCAUAGCCAUUACGGCCAAGUGCACCAUCCGGAGACUCGCGCUACAUCCGAGUCGCCGCAGAAGCCGAACAGCUCGUACCUGUUCCUUAGUCCGGGAGUCCGGAUACCCUCGACGGUAAUCCGAAGGCCACUGCCGUAACCAUCGGUGGCGGAGGACAGGACGAGCCGCUUAACGGGUCCAUCGACGAUCGCGCCGGAGCGCCAGUAACACCCCGCGCGAUGACGAACGGCCUAGCCGUACGCCAAGAGAGAGAGAGUUGGUAGCAGAAGUGAGAGAAGAGGUUGAAGCGGAAGGAGAGGAGAGCAGGAAGCGGAAGGUGAAGUACCGGCGUCGCUGGAGUGCUGCGGUCGACGACGGGGCCCCGAAGAGAGGAGAAGAAGAAGAAGAAGUGAAAGGUCAGGUCAGUGUAGGAUUAAGAAAGUGGGAGGAAUAAAGCACUGUAGAAGAAGGAGAAAUAAAGUGUGUUUCUGACCCGCA
This is a long non-coding RNA of Culex quinquefasciatus (southern house mosquito), 954 nucleotides long. RefSeq lists it as uncharacterized. NCBI's taxonomy places the organism in Eukaryota, Metazoa, Arthropoda, Insecta, Diptera, Culicidae. The record is from RefSeq and is a predicted model, not a curated record. The transcript has 2 exons.